RNAcentral lists this small RNA (490 nucleotides) under Pan troglodytes (chimpanzee). RNAcentral describes it as "processed transcript". The record is from RNAcentral. Lineage: Eukaryota; Metazoa; Chordata; Mammalia; Primates; Hominidae.
AUCUACCUGCCUCGCCUCCCAAAGUGCUGGGAUUACAGGCAUGAGCUACUGUGCCGGGCCCAAAGCGGAUCUUUUAAGGAAGGGUGCUGAUGUAUGGACAGCCGUAUCGUGUUACCUUAGAGCUUGAGCUGCCAGAGUCCCCUGUGAAUCAAGAUUUGGGCAUGUUCUUGGUCACCAUUUCCUGCUACACCAGAGGUGGCCGAAUCAUCUCCACUUCUUCGCGUUCGGUGAUGCUGCAUUACCGCUCAGACCUGCUCCAGAUGCUGGACACACUGGUCUUCUCUAGCCUCCUGCUAUUUGGCUUUGCAGAGCAGAAGCAGCUGCUGGAGGUGGAACUCUACGCAGACUAUAGAGAGAACUCGUAUGUGCCGACCACUGGAGCGAUCAUUGAGAUCCACAGCAAGCGCAUCCAGCUGUAUGGAGCCUACCUCCGCAUCCACGCGCACUUCACUGGGCUCAGAUACCUGCUAUACAACUUCCCGAUGACCUG